CCCGUUGUACACACCGCCCGUCACACCAUGGAAGCAAGCAACACCCGAAGCCGGUGGCCUAACCCCUUGUGGGAGGGAGCCGUCGAAGGUGGGGCUCGUGACUGGGGUG
This 109-nucleotide ribosomal RNA is filed under the name uncultured bacterium. RNAcentral describes it as "partial 16S ribosomal RNA". It matches the Rfam family "Bacterial small subunit ribosomal RNA", at positions 1377 to 1482 of the family's 1533-position model. The record is from RNAcentral.